Molecule: ribosomal RNA, 253 nt
Filed under: uncultured bacterium
Lineage: Bacteria
Description: partial 16S ribosomal RNA
Rfam family: Bacterial small subunit ribosomal RNA
Source: RNAcentral
UACGUAGGGGGCAAGCGUUGUCCGGAAUCAUUGGGCGUAAAGCGCGCGUAGGCGGCUCGGUAAGUCCGCUGUAAAAGUCCAGGGCUCAACCCUGGAAAGCCGGUGGAUACUGUCGGGCUAGAGUCCGGAAGAGGCGAGUGGAAUUCCUGGUGUAGCGGUGGAAUGCGCAGAUAUCAGGAGGAACACCGAUGGCGAAGGCAGCUCGCUGGGACGGUACUGACGCUGAGGCGCGGAAGCGUGGGGAGCGAACAGG